GGAUGAACGCUAGCGGCAGGCUUAAUACAUGCAAGUCGAGGGGCAGCACGAAUAGCAAUAUUUGGUGGCGACCGGCAAACGGGUGCGGAACACGUACAGAACCUUCCUUCGAGUGGGGAAUAGCCCGAAGAAAUUCGGAUUAAUACCCCAUAGUAUUAUGAAGUGGCAUCACUUUAUAAUUAAAGAUUUAUUGCUUGAAGAUGGCUGUGCGCCUGAUUAGGUAGUUGGCGGGGUAACGGCCCACCAAGCCUUCGAUCAGUAACUGGUGUGAGAGCACGACCAGUCACACGGGCACUGAGACACGGGCCCGACUCCUACGGGAGGCAGCAGUAAGGAAUAUUGGUCAAUGGACGCAAGUCUGAACCAGCCAUGCCGCGUGGAGGAUGAAGGUCCUCUGGAUUGUAAACUUCUUUUAUUUGGGAAGAAAUGUGAUUAUUCUUUUUCACUUGACGGUACCAGAUGAAUAAGCACCGGCUAACUCCGUGCCAGCAGCCGCGGUAAUACGGAGGGUGCAAGCGUUAUCCGGAUUUACUGGGUUUAAAGGGUGCGCAGGCGGAUAUGUAAGUCAGUGGUGAAAUCUCCGGGCUUAACCCGGAAACUGCCGUUGAUACUAUAUAUCUUGAAUGCUGUGGAGGUAAGCAGAAUAUGUCAUGUAGCGGUGAAAUGCUUAGAGAUGACAUAGAAUACCUAUUGCGAAGGCAGCUUACUACGCAGAUAUUGACGCUCAUGCACGAAAGCGUGGGGAUCAAACAGGAUUAGAUACCCUGGUAGUCCACGCCCUAAACGAUGAUUACUCGACAUACGCGAUACACUGUGUGUGUCUGAGCGAAAGCAUUAAGUAAUCCACCUGGGAAGUACGAUCGCAAGAUUGAAACUCAAAG
RNAcentral lists this ribosomal RNA (881 nucleotides) under uncultured bacterium. Its description in RNAcentral is "bacterial SSU rRNA". It matches the Rfam family "Bacterial small subunit ribosomal RNA", at positions 27 to 906 of the family's 1533-position model. The record is from RNAcentral.